GCACAAGUAACCACAAUGCGGGUGAGAAACCCGCACGCCGAAAGAACAAGGUUUCCCUCUCAACGUUUGUCGGAGAGGGGUUAGUCGGGCCUAAGGGAAUGGUGAGAACCGUACCCGAUGGACACACGGUUAAUAUUCCGUGACUGUUUUUGUAAGUGAUGGGAGGACGGAGAUGAGUAUGCAUCGCGCAUUAUCGGAUUUGACGUCCGUGCUUUAAGGAAGUUAUCUAGGAAAAUCCGGAUAGCUGGUUUUAAUACCAAUUCCAAGAAGAGCGGAAAUGCUUGGCCUCGGCCUGGCAAAUGAUGCAAAGCCAUCUUCCAAGAAAAUUCUCUAAACUUAUUGCAGAAACAUCCGUACCGCAAACCGACACAGGUGUUCAGCUCGAGAAGAGUAAGGCGAACGAGUGAGACGUCCCCAAGGAACUCGGCAAAAAAGCAGCCGUAACUUCGGAAUAAGGCUUGCCUGGUCGUGCCUCAUUGCAUUUGGCACGCCCCGCAGACCAACGCGGACUUUACGCGGACUAACGCAGAAGAAAUUCGGAAUCAAAUCCGUUUUUGUCAGCGUGGUUCUGCGUCCAGUCUGCGAAGUCUGCGAGGCGCAACGAGUGUGACGAGGUGCGACUAGGCCGCAGCUAAAGUAUCUCUGGCAACUGUUUAUCAAAAACACAGCUCCCUGCGAACUCGCAAGAGGAUGUAUAGGGGGUGACACCUGACCAAUGCCAGAAGGUCAAACAUGGGGGGUCUAUUUAUCUUCGGAUAGGCAGGCUGAUCUGUGUAAGCCCUGGUGAAUGUCGGCCGUAACUAUAGACAUGACCGUUGUAGUUACGAAAAUAAAUCUUGCCAUAUGCUGGAAAACCCGGUCCGCCUUAGGCGGAAACAAAGUAGUAUGCAUUACGAACACAUGUUGAUGUGUCGUGACAAUAUGUAUAUGCGGAUAAUCAGCAGGAAAGUCUUCUGAUCUAACAAAACAUAAUGAAAAAUAUUCCAGUUGAUAUAGGAAACUAUAUUGCGGGGUUCACAGACGGAGAAGGAAGCUUCAAUGUCUCGAUCAAAAAGAGGUUAGAUUACAAAGAAAGUUGGAAGCUGACCGCGUCGUUCAACAUAUCUCAAAAAGAUAGAGUUAUCCUUGCAUGGGUAAAGCAUAUUUUGGGAUGUGGAACAUUGCGGGAAAGAAAAGAUGGCGUUGUGUAUUACGAAGUAACAAACAUUACUUCACUCCACGAAGUCAUUAUUCCAUUCUUCAAAAUGUAUGGUUUCCGCUCGGCAUACAAAAAGAAUAAUUUCAGAAUUUUUUCUGAAAUAGUCAAAAUGAUGUAUGCAGGCGAGCAUCAUACUCAAGAAGGAUUUCGGAAAGUUCUAGAAUUAAGAGAAACACUUAACCCUGGAAUUGGAAGAAAACGAAAAUACACAUUAUUAGAUGUCGUAACUUCAGAAGAAUCCCCAGAGACUAUACGCAAGACGGUUUCAAAUCAAACAUUGGAGUCGACGAUUUGAAAACGAUGAUAUAGUCCGAUCUCAUUGGCAACAAUGAGUUAACACGUAAGUAAUAGAUUGGUAAAUAGUUGAAGAAAGAUCAUUACACCANNNNNNNNNNNNNNNNNNNNNNNNNNNNNNNNNNNNCCGGUGAAGAUGCCGGUUACCUGCAGUUAGACGAAAAGACCCCAGGAGCUUUACUGCAACUUGAUAUUGAGUUUACGGUCACGAUGCGUAGCAUAGAUGGGAGACUUUGAAGUCCCGAUUUCGGUCGGGAUGGAGUCAUCAGUGAAAUACCAUUCUUCUAGAUUGUAAAUUCUAACCUCGACGGAAAAAACGGCGAGAAACAGUAUCUGGCGGGCAGUUUUAGUGGGGCGCUAUCCUCCUAAAAAGUAACGGAGGAGUCUAUUAAGGUCAGCUAGGCGCGAAUGGAAACCGUGCCGAUAGUGUAAUGGCAUAAGCUGGCUNNNNNNNNNNNNNNNNNNNNNNNNNNNNGUUCGGCACCUCGAUGUCGGCUCAACUUAUCCUGGAGGUGGAGAAGCUUCCAAGGGUAUGGCUGUUCGCCAUUUAAAAAGUUACGCGAGCUGGGUUCAGACCGU
This 2071-nucleotide ribosomal RNA is filed under the name Candidatus Zambryskibacteria bacterium CG22_combo_CG10-13_8_21_14_all_42_17. RNAcentral's name for it is "partial 23S ribosomal RNA". It matches the Rfam family "Bacterial large subunit ribosomal RNA", at positions 1300 to 2619 of the family's 2925-position model. Lineage: Bacteria; Candidatus Zambryskiibacteriota. The record is from RNAcentral.